This 265-nucleotide long non-coding RNA is filed under the name Elaeis guineensis (African oil palm). Its description in RNAcentral is "long non-coding RNA (EGUI_LNC030341)". Lineage: Eukaryota; Viridiplantae; Streptophyta; Magnoliopsida; Arecales; Arecaceae. The record is from RNAcentral.
UGUAUGCUUACCUGUUUAGCCUCCUUGAAUUGCACGUCACGCUGCCUAUAAAUUGUCUCUAAAAGGUACCUAUUCGUUGCAAAAUAUAGUUUAAGUCGCCAAUUUUGCGCGCAGAAUUCCUGAGUUCAUUGAAGAAAUUAUAAAAAUGGUUUUCUUUUGACGGUAUCUGAUGGACUUUGUUAGGUUUGAAGAGUUUAACGGACAGAAAAUUCUAUGCAGGCACCACGUUUUACAUCUCCUUAGACCUUAUUGGUAACUUUCCACG